RNAcentral lists this small nucleolar RNA (114 nucleotides) under Propithecus coquereli (Coquerel's sifaka). Lineage: Eukaryota; Metazoa; Chordata; Mammalia; Primates; Indriidae. The record is from RNAcentral.
CCUUUCAAAAGCACUCAAAGGGCCUUUUACUAAUGGCCCACUGAGCCAUCGAGAAAGUCACUUUUGGGUGAAGUGGCAGCAUGUUGUUUUGCUUCAAUAGGUGAUGUGACAAGG